AGAGUUUGAUCCUGGCUCAGGACGAACGCUGGCGGCGUGCUUAACACAUGCAAGUCGAACGGUGACGAGGAGCUUGCUCCUCUGAUCAGUGGCGAACGGGUGAGUAACACGUGAGCAACCUGCCCCAGACUCUGGGAUAACAGUUGGAAACAGCUGCUAAUACCGGAUACGAGACGGAGAGGCAUCUCUACCGUCUGGAAAGUUUUUCGGUCUGGGAUGGACUCGCGGCCUAUCAGCUAGUUGGUGAGGUAAUGGCUCACCAAGGCGACGACGGGUAGCCGGCCUGAGAGGGCGACCGGCCACACUGGGACUGAGACACGGCCCAGACUCCUACGGGAGGCAGCAGUGGGGAAUAUUGCACAAUGGGCGAAAGCCUGAAGCAGCACGCCGCGUGAGGGAUGACGGCCUUCGGGUUGUAAACCUCUUUCAGCAGGGAAGAAGCGAAAGUGACGGUACCUGCAGAAGAAGCACCGGCUAACUACGUGCCAGCAGCCGCGGUAAUACGUAGGGUGCGAGCGUUGUCCGGAAUUAUUGGGCGUAAAGAGCUUGUAGGCGGUUUGUCGCGUCUGCAGUGAAAAUCCGAGGCUCAACCUCGGACUUGCUGUGGGUACGGGCAGACUAGAGUAUGGUAGGGGAGACCGGAAUUCCUGGUGUAGCGGUGGAAUGCGCAGAUAUCAGGAGGAACACCGAUGGCGAAGGCAGGUCUCUGGGCCAUAACUGACGCUGAGAAGCGAAAGCAUGGGGAGCGAACAGGAUUAGAUACCCUGGUAGUCCAUGCCGUAAACGUUGGGCGCUAGGUGUGGGGCUCAUUCCACGAGCUCCGUGCCGCAGCUAACGCAUUAAGCGCCCCGCCUGGGGAGUACGGCCGCAAGGCUAAAACUCAAAGGAAUUGACGGGGGCCCGCACAAGCGGCGGAGCAUGCGGAUUAAUUCGAUGCAACGCGAAGAACCUUACCAAGGCUUGACAUAUACCGGAAACAUCCAGAGAUGGGUGCCCCGCAAGGUCGGUAUACAGGUGGUGCAUGGUUGUCGUCAGCUCGUGUCGUGAGAUGUUGGGUUAAGUCCCGCAACGAGCGCAACCCUCGUUCUAUGUUGCCAGCGCGUAAUGGCGGGGACUCAUAGGAGACUGCCGGGGUCAACUCGGAGGAAGGUGGGGAUGACGUCAAAUCAUCAUGCCCCUUAUGUCUUGGGCUUCACGCAUGCUACAAUGGCCGGUACAAAGGGCUGCGAUACCGCGAGGUGGAGCGAAUCCCAAAAAACCGGUCCCAGUUCGGAUUGGGGUCUGCAACUCGACCCCAUGAAGUCGGAGUCGCUAGUAAUCGCAGAUCAGCAACGCUGCGGUGAAUACGUUCCCGGGCCUUGUACACACCGCCCGUCAAGUCACGAAAGUCGGUAACACCCGAAGCCGGUGGCCCAACCCUUGUGGAGGGAGCCGUCGAAGGUGGGACUGGCGAUUGGGACUAAGUCGUAACAAGGUA
Molecule: ribosomal RNA, 1477 nt
Filed under: metagenome
Description: bacterial SSU rRNA
Rfam family: Bacterial small subunit ribosomal RNA
Source: RNAcentral